RNAcentral lists this ribosomal RNA (585 nucleotides) under uncultured bacterium. RNAcentral's name for it is "partial 16S ribosomal RNA". It matches the Rfam family "Bacterial small subunit ribosomal RNA", at positions 355 to 1375 of the family's 1533-position model. The record is from RNAcentral.
UGGGGAAUUUUGGACAAUGGGGGCAACCUGAUCCAGCAAUGCCGCGUGUGUGAAGAAGGCCUUCGGGUUGUAAAGCACUUUUGUCCGGAAAGAAAUCCUUGGCUCUAAUACAGUCGGGGGAUGACGGUACCGGAAGAAUAAGCACCGGCUAACUACGUGCCAGCAGCCGCGGUAAUACGUAGGGUGCAAGCGUUAAUCGGAAUUACUGGGCGUAAAGCGUGCGCAGGCGGUUUGCUAAGACCGAUGUGAAAUCCCCGGGCUCAACCUGGGAACUGCAUUGGUGACUGGCAGGCUAGAGUAUGGCAGAGGGGGGUAGAAUUCCACGUGUAGCAGUGAAAUGCGUAGAGAUGUGGAGGAAUACCGAUGGCGAAGGCAGCCCCCUGGGCCAAUACUGACGCUCAUGCACGAAAGCGUGGGGGAGCAAAACAGGAUUAGAUACCCUGGUAGUCCACGCCCUAAACGAUGUCAACUAGUUGUUGGGGAUUCAUUCCUUAGUAACGUAGCUAACGCGUGAAGUUGACCGCCUGGGGAGUACGGUCGCAAGAUUAAAACUUAAAUGAAUUGACGGGGUCAUAGCUGUUUCCU